This 253-nucleotide ribosomal RNA is filed under the name uncultured bacterium. RNAcentral describes it as "partial 16S ribosomal RNA". It matches the Rfam family "Bacterial small subunit ribosomal RNA", at positions 524 to 776 of the family's 1533-position model. The record is from RNAcentral.
UACGUAGGGUGCAAGCGUUGUCCGGAAUUAUUGGGCGUAAAGAGCUCGUAGGCGGUCUGUCGCGUCCGUUGUGAAAACUCGAGGCUCAACCUCGGGCUUGCAGUGGAUACGGGCAGACUAGAGUGCGGUAGGGGAGACUGGAAUUCCUGGUGUAGCGGUGGAAUGCGCAGAUAUCAGGAGGAACACCGAUGGCGAAGGCAGGUCUCUGGGCCGCAACUGACGCUGAGGAGCGAAAGCAUGGGGAGCGAACAGG